This 362-nucleotide ribosomal RNA is filed under the name Ensifer meliloti. RNAcentral's name for it is "Sinorhizobium meliloti bacterial SSU rRNA". It matches the Rfam family "Bacterial small subunit ribosomal RNA", at positions 993 to 1354 of the family's 1533-position model. Lineage: Bacteria; Pseudomonadati; Pseudomonadota; Alphaproteobacteria; Hyphomicrobiales; Rhizobiaceae. The record is from RNAcentral.
UUGGGCAGUGGAGACAUUGUCCUUCAGUUAGGCUGGCCCCAGAACAGGUGCUGCAUGGCUGUCGUCAGCUCGUGUCGUGAGAUGUUGGGUUAAGUCCCGCAACGAGCGCAACCCUCGCCCUUAGUUGCCAGCAUUUAGUUGGGCACUCUAAGGGGACUGCCGGUGAUAAGCCGAGAGGAAGGUGGGGAUGACGUCAAGUCCUCAUGGCCCUUACGGGCUGGGCUACACACGUGCUACAAUGGUGGUGACAGUGGGCAGCGAGACAGCGAUGUCGAGCUAAUCUCCAAAAGCCAUCUCAGUUCGGAUUGCACUCUGCAACUCGAGUGCAUGAAGUUGGAAUCGCUAGUAAUCGCAGAUCAGCA